AGAGUUUGAUCAUGGCUCAGGAUGAACGCUAGCUACAGGCUUAACACAUGCAAGUCGAGGGGAAACGACAUCGAAAGCUUGCUUUUGAUGGGCGUCGACCGGCGCACGGGUGAGUAACGCGUAUCCAACCUGCCCACCACUUGGGGAUAACCUUGCGAAAGUAAGACUAAUACCCAAUGACGUCUCUAGAAGACAUCUGAAAGAGAUUAAAGAUUUAUCGGUGAUGGAUGGGGAUGCGCCUGAUUAGCUUGUUGGCGGGGUAACGCCACCAAGGCUACGAUCAGUAGGGGUUCUGAGAGGAAGGUCCCCCANAUUGGAACUGAGACACGGUCCAAACUCCUACGGGAGCA
RNAcentral lists this ribosomal RNA (350 nucleotides) under uncultured bacterium. RNAcentral's name for it is "bacterial SSU rRNA". It matches the Rfam family "Bacterial small subunit ribosomal RNA", at positions 8 to 349 of the family's 1533-position model. The record is from RNAcentral.